Molecule: non-coding RNA, 1080 nt
Organism: Delphinapterus leucas (beluga whale)
Lineage: Eukaryota; Metazoa; Chordata; Mammalia; Artiodactyla; Monodontidae
Source: RefSeq, a predicted model, not a curated record
GAGCCAAAAAUAAAUAAAUUAAAUAAAUUUAAAAAAAAAUAAAAUGAGAGUAUGUAUAUUAGGUGCUACCAAGGGGAUCAAAAUUUCUUUAUUCUCUUCCUAGAAAAAUCAUGUAAACAUUAGCACAGAUCUCUCCUUAUCCCCCAGGUUCAAAAUCAUCAUGACCUGUUAGCCCUACAUUUAAAAUAAACAGGAAAAAUAAAACCAGUUACCAGAUGAACAGUUUUGGUUUUCUUUGGGAAACCUUCCACUUUAAAGGCUCAGUAGGUCUGUGUGAAUCUGGUGAGGAGGGACUAAGGGGACUCCAGUGGGCACGGAGCACAGCAGUGGGUCAGUGGAUUCCGGCAGUUCUAGUAAGUAUCACAUUAGGCCCACUUCCAGCCCCCAAAGGACAGGAUUAAAUAUUCUGAGCUCACGUUCCAGGAAUGGCUGGUCUUUCCCUUCCCUCCAGAAAAAGGACUGGGGCAGAUCCACAGGGUUGAGAGGAGGAAGGACACACCUUCUUAACCUUUGUCUGUCUUUAAAGCAGACUUCCUAGGAUGCACUUCUUCCUUACAUCAGAAAAAAGCCAUGAAUAUGCAGCCACAUGGAUUGGAGAAGACAGAAGAAAACAGGACUGAACAAAUGAGUUAAUUUGUUGAUGUUGCUGGCAGCUGUAGUUCUCAGUAUGGAAAAGGGAAUACAACACGGAAUGGGAAAAGACAAAAAAGAACUCUGUGGUGAUUGAUAGAUUGAAAUGGAAGGCACUGGGGCCAAAGUACAGGGGAAAAAGAGAAAAUCCUGGGAUUACACAAGGAAGAGAGUAACAAAUGAUCAGUUCUAUUAUUUAUUUGCUUUGAUGCUGGGCAAAUCAAAGCCCUUAAACCAUUACAGGUCUCAGUUUCUUUUUCCAAUUCAAACAAAUAUAAAGGAAAAUGUCAGAUAUUUUAAGAACUAAUGGAAUCCCAAUCACAAACCACAAGGGAUUAAAGGACAGAAAGGCAUUUAAGACACUUUUAUUUGAAAACUUUUGAUUACCAUUUUUUUCAUUAAGAGUUGUUCAUGACUUCCCUGGUGGCGCAGUGGUUAAGAAUUCGCCUG